GUGGGGAAUCUUGCGCAAUGGGCGAAAGCCUGACGCAGCCAUGUCGCGUGAAUGAUGAAGGUCUUAGGAUUGUAAAAUUCUUUCACCGGGGACGAUAAUGACGGUACCCGGAGAAGAAGCUCCGGCUAACUUCGUGCCAGCAGCCGCGGUAAUACGAAGGGGGCUAGCGUUGCUCGGAAUUACUGGGCGUAAAGGGCGCGUAGGCGGACAGCUUAGUCAGAGGUGAAAGCCCAGGGCUCAACCUUGGAAUUGCCUUUGAUACUGGCUGUCUUGAGUUUGGGAGAGGUGAGUGGAACUCCGAGUGUAGAGGUGAAAUUCGUAGAUAUUCGGAAGAACACCAGUGGCGAAGGCGACUCACUGGCCCAAUACUGACGCUGAGGCGCGAAAGCGUGGGGAGCAAACAGGAUUAGAAACCCUUGUAGUCC
This 425-nucleotide ribosomal RNA is filed under the name uncultured bacterium. RNAcentral describes it as "partial 16S ribosomal RNA". It matches the Rfam family "Bacterial small subunit ribosomal RNA", at positions 354 to 796 of the family's 1533-position model. The record is from RNAcentral.